GACAGAUGACCCUUGGUUUUAGUUUCAGGCUAUAGUUCUUGGACCUAAGUGCUGGUGGCUGUGAUCACCUAUGGCAGAUUCAUUUAAGCAAAGGUAGAAAAGGGAGAGACAACAGUAUGGAUGACAGAAUUCUUUAAAUCCAUAUGCAUUACUUUUCUCUUCAGUUAGCAGGAAGAACUCAGAGACUGUCUUGUGUUCGUCUGACUCCUGGGAUCACUGGUACCAAUUGAUGUCCCUGUUGCCUUUACCCUCUCAGGAACACAAAAGGCAGUGGCAAUAUCUUCAAUUAGCAUCUAUUUCAGCUUCUGAAGAACAGCAUCUGUUUCCACCCAAACAGCUGAAAAUGUAGCCCACACCAAGACUGGAUUCUACAUAUGCAGAAAGCCUAAUUUCUGUGGAUCUCAAAAAGAAAUUGUGAUCUUUGGCAACCUGAAGUUAUCAGAUCUGAAUAUAGCACCAUCAUCCUUGGCUGUAAGAAUUUAAAGCUUGAUCUAGUGUUCCCUGAAGCCAGUGGGAAGACUGUUAUUGUCUUUGGCUUCCUUUGGAUCACACCAGAAGCUCACAGUCUGAUUCUGCAAGCUACAAAAUGUAAAGCGCUCCAGUAGCACCUUUUGUUCCCUGUGAAGACUGGUCAAGCUUAGAAAGUAAGAGAGAAAUGACAAA
Vidua chalybeata is the source of this 663-nucleotide long non-coding RNA. RefSeq lists it as uncharacterized. The record is from RefSeq and is a predicted model, not a curated record. The transcript has 3 exons. Lineage: Eukaryota; Metazoa; Chordata; Aves; Passeriformes; Viduidae.